This 301-nucleotide ribosomal RNA is filed under the name uncultured bacterium. RNAcentral describes it as "partial 16S ribosomal RNA". It matches the Rfam family "Bacterial small subunit ribosomal RNA", at positions 509 to 807 of the family's 1533-position model. The record is from RNAcentral.
CAGUAGCCACGGUAAUACGAAGGUCCCGAGCGUUGUUCGGAAUUACUGGGCGUAAAGCGCACGCAGGCGGCUCGAUAAAUUAGAAGUGAAAGCCUUGGGCUUAACCUGAGAAUUGCUUUUAAGACUGUCGAGCUAGAAUCCAGAAGAGGGUAGUGGAAUUCCGAGUGUAGAGGUGAAAUUCGUAGAUAUUCGGAAGAACACCAGUGGCGAAGGCGACUACCUGGUCUGGCAUUGACGCUCAUGUGCGAAAGCGUGGGGAGCAAACAGGAUUAGAGACCCGCGUAGUCCCUGUCUCUUAUAC